UGAUCUAGCCAUGCCGCGUGAGUGACGAAGGCCCUAGGGUCGUAAAGCUCUUUCGCCAGGGAUGAUAAUGACAGUACCUGGUAAAGAAACCCCGGCUAACUCCGUGCCAGCAGCCGCGGUAAUACGUAGGGGGCGAGCGUUGUCCGGAAUUAUUGGGCGUAAAGCGCGCGCAGGCGGUCUCUUAAGUCUGAUGUGAAAGCCCACGGCUCAACCGUGGAGGGUCAUUGGAAACUGGGGGACU
This 241-nucleotide ribosomal RNA is filed under the name Roseovarius sp. HI0049. Its description in RNAcentral is "partial 16S ribosomal RNA". It matches the Rfam family "Bacterial small subunit ribosomal RNA", at positions 384 to 642 of the family's 1533-position model. Lineage: Bacteria; Pseudomonadati; Pseudomonadota; Alphaproteobacteria; Rhodobacterales; Roseobacteraceae. The record is from RNAcentral.